RNAcentral lists this ribosomal RNA (568 nucleotides) under Pogonocichla stellata orientalis. RNAcentral's name for it is "partial small subunit ribosomal RNA". It matches the Rfam family "Bacterial large subunit ribosomal RNA", at positions 1817 to 2597 of the family's 2925-position model. The record is from RNAcentral. Lineage: Eukaryota; Metazoa; Chordata; Aves; Passeriformes; Muscicapidae.
AGCCUUCAGCAAAUCAAAACAAGUAUUGAAGGUGAUGCCUGCCCGGUGACCUGAGGUUAACGGCCGCGGUAUCCUAACCGUGCAAAGGUAGCGCAAUCAAUUGUCCCAUAAAUCGAGACCAGUAUGAAUGGCUAAACGAGGUCUUGACUGUCUCUUGCAGGCAAUCGGUGAAAUUGAUCUCCCUGUGCAAAAGCAGGGAUAAACCCAUAAGACGAGAAGACCCUGUGGAACUUUAAAACCAGCAGCCACCCCAAAACAACAUAAACCCCUACUAGGCUCACUCACACAUAAGCCACUGGACUGCGUUUUUCGGUUGGGGCGACCUUGGAGAAAAACAAAUCCUCCAAAAAUUGGACCUUACCUCUAGACCAAGAGCAACCUCUCGACGUGCUAACAGCAUCCAGACCCAAUAUAAUUGAUCAAUGGACCAAGCUACCCCAGGGAUAACAGCGCAAUCUCCUUCAAGAGUCCAUAUCGACAAGGAGGUUUACGACCUCGAUGUUGGAUCAGGACAUCCUAGUGGUGCAGCCGCUACUAAUGGUUCGUUUGUUCAACGAUUAACAGUCCU